CAGUAGCCACGGUAAUACGAAGGGUGCAAGCGUUAAUCGGAAUUACUGGGCGUAAAGCGUGCGUAGGCGGUGAGUUAAGUCUGCUGUGAAAUCCCCGGGCUCAACCUGGGAAUGGCAGUGGAUACUGGCUCGCUAGAGUGUGUCAGAGGAUGGUGGAAUUCCCGGUGUAGCGGUGAAAUGCGUAGAGAUCGGGAGGAACAUCAGUGGCGAAGGCGGCCAUCUGGAACAACACUGACGCUGAGGCACGAAAGCGUGGGGAGCAAACAGGAUUAGAUACCCCCGUAGUCCCUGUCUCUUAUAC
This 301-nucleotide ribosomal RNA is filed under the name uncultured bacterium. RNAcentral's name for it is "partial 16S ribosomal RNA". It matches the Rfam family "Bacterial small subunit ribosomal RNA", at positions 509 to 807 of the family's 1533-position model. The record is from RNAcentral.